GCUUUCAACAUCCCCGUUCCGGGGCGCGGUUUCCCGAACAGGCAAGCUUCGCGGCCGGAACUGAAGGC
RNAcentral lists this small RNA (68 nucleotides) under unclassified sequences. RNAcentral's name for it is "NAD+-I sequence". It matches the Rfam family "nadA riboswitch". The record is from Rfam by way of RNAcentral.